UUAGCAGAGAUGCUUUGGUGCCUUCGGGAACUCUGAGACAGGUGCUGCAUGGCUGUCGUCAGCUCGUGUUGUGAAAUGUUGGGUUAAGUCCCGCAACGAGCGCAACCCUUAUCCUUUGUUGCCAGCGAUUCGGUCGGGAACUCAAAGGAGACUGCCAGUGAUAAACUGGAGGAAGGUGGGGAUGACGUCAAGUCAUCAUGGCCCUUACGAGUAGGGCUACACACGUGCUACAAUGGCAUAUACAAAGAGAAGCGACCUCGCGAGAGCAAGCGGACCUCAUAAAGUAUGUCGUAGUCCGGAUUGGAGUCUGCAACUCGACUCCAUGAAGUCGGAAUCGCUAGUAAUCGUAGAUCAGAAUGCUACGGUGAAUACGUUCCCGGGCCUUGUACACACCGCCCGUCACACCAUGGGAGUGGGUUGCAAAAGAAGUAGGUAGCUUAACCUUCGGGAGGGCGCUUACCACUUUGUGAUUCAUGACUGGGGUGAAGUCGUAACAAGGUAACCGUAGGGGAACCUGCGGUUGGAUCACCUCCUUACCUUAAAGAA
This 546-nucleotide ribosomal RNA is filed under the name Klebsiella aerogenes. Its description in RNAcentral is "bacterial SSU rRNA". It matches the Rfam family "Bacterial small subunit ribosomal RNA", at positions 997 to 1533 of the family's 1533-position model. The record is from RNAcentral. Lineage: Bacteria; Pseudomonadati; Pseudomonadota; Gammaproteobacteria; Enterobacterales; Enterobacteriaceae.